AAGACAUGAAAGGGAGAAAUUUCAUUGUCUCACAUCCUAAAUAUUAAUAUACACCGAAUACAUCCAAGUUUCUGAAACAUCAUGAACUCCCCAACUAUGUUUUAUUUUGUGCUUGAUUGUUGCAUAUGUGAAAAAACUGUGGUUACCAUUAUUGUCCUCCAUGAAGACAUGAAAGGGAGAAAUUUCAUUCUCACAUCCUAAAUAUUAAUAUACACAGAAUACAUCCAAGUUUCUGAAACAUCAUGAACCCCCCAACUAUGUUAUAUUUUGUGCUUAAUUGUUGCAUAGGAAUGAAACCGAUUUAAGUACAGGAGCUAACCCAGCCAAUCAUUUCAUUGAGCAGUAGGGAAGCAUAGACACAAAGCAAUGUACUUGUUGUCAAACUGCAUGCUCCAGCGCACCUGAGCCCUGAGGAGCUAGCAUUUCAAGCUUCAGUGAGGAGUAGAGAUUCCAUGGUAAGGUAGGGAAAAAUGAUUACCAACGGAAAUCAUUUGUAUGAUCACCCCAAUGCAUCAGCUAUCAAUCUAGACCAUAAGAUUCAGCAAUCUGAAAGUUGAAUUAGGGAAACCAUUAUUGAUGAACCUAUAACAGGAAAAGAUAAUCUGCAGCAUAUCAUUUUAUACCCACAGUUUUUUCACAUAUGCAUUUUAACAAACACAAAGCGUGCACACACUAGAUGGGGACAGGGAAGCAGCAGUCCUCCACACUGCCAAAGGAGUAGGCGUCGACGGCGGUGGCGGUGGCGUUGGCGGCGGGGGAUUCGGCGUCGGUUGCAGUAGGCGUCGGCGGCGGUGGCGUCGGCGUCGGGGAGGAGUCACUGCCAGGGGCGGCGGCGUCGGUGGCAGGUGGGCGGAAGGAGGAAAGGCGGGGUAUCUGGGGCGGCAACGGCGGUUGCGGUUGGGCAAUGGCGGUUGCGGGUGGGCAGCAGCGGCGCUAGGCGUCGGCGGCGGGGAGGAGGUGGAGUCAGCAGCAGGGGCAGUGGCGUCGAUGGCAGGUGGGCGGAAGGAGGAGGAAAAGCGGGGGGAUCUGGAGCGGCGGCGGCGGGGGAGAAGCGCGAGAGAGAUCGGAUCGGUGCGGCGGCGGUCGAGGGAGGCGCGAGGAUGGAUUGAGGGGCGGCGAUGGUGUGAAGGAGGCGGGAUACGACGACGGCGGAGAGGGAGAAGUCUGCGGUGUCGGGUGACGAGUGAGAAGAGGAGGCGCCGUUUCUUUUUUUUUCGCGUCGCGGAGGAGUAGCGUGUGCCGUUUC
RNAcentral lists this long non-coding RNA (1246 nucleotides) under Oryza sativa (Asian cultivated rice). RNAcentral describes it as "long non-coding RNA (OSAT_LNC001343)". The record is from RNAcentral. Lineage: Eukaryota; Viridiplantae; Streptophyta; Magnoliopsida; Poales; Poaceae.